UACGUAGGGGGCAAGCGUUGUCCGGAAUCAUUGGGCGUAAAGCGCGUGUAGGCGGCCCGGUAAGUCCGCUGUGAAAGUCCAGGGCUCAACCCUGGAAUGCCGGUGGAUACUGUCGGGCUCGAGUCCGGAAGAGGAGAGUGGAAUUCCCGGUGUAGCGGUGAAAUGCGCAGAUAUCGGGAAGAACACCAGUGGCGAAGGCGGCUCUCUGGGACGGUACCGACGCUGAGACGCGAAAGCGUGGGGAGCAAACAGG
Molecule: ribosomal RNA, 253 nt
Filed under: uncultured bacterium
Lineage: Bacteria
Description: partial 16S ribosomal RNA
Rfam family: Bacterial small subunit ribosomal RNA
Source: RNAcentral